Molecule: ribosomal RNA, 726 nt
Filed under: Pseudomonas sp.
Lineage: Bacteria; Pseudomonadati; Pseudomonadota; Gammaproteobacteria; Pseudomonadales; Pseudomonadaceae
Description: bacterial SSU rRNA
Rfam family: Bacterial small subunit ribosomal RNA
Source: RNAcentral
UCAGAUUGACGCUGGCGGCAGGCCUAACACAUGCAAGUCGAGCGGAUGAGAGGAGCUUGCUCCUCGAUUCAGCGGCGGACGGGUGAGUAAUGCCUAGGAAUCUGCCUAGUAGUGGGGGACAACGUUUCGAAAGGAACGCUAAUACCGCAUACGUCCUACGGGAGAAAGUGGGGGAUCUUCGGACCUCACGCUAUUAGAUGAGCCUAGGUCGGAUUAGCUAGUUGGUAGGGUAAAGGCCUACCAAGGCGACGAUCCGUAACUGGUCUGAGAGGAUGAUCAGUCACACUGGAACUGAGACACGGUCCAGACUCCUACGGGAGGCAGCAGUGGGGAAUAUUGGACAAUGGGCGAAAGCCUGAUCCAGCCAUGCCGCGUGUGUGAAGAAGGCCCUCGGGUCGUAAAGCACUUUAAGUUGGGAGGAAGGGCUUACAGCGAAUACCUGUGAGUUUUGACGUUACCGACAGAAUAAGCACCGGCUAACUUCGUGCCAGCAGCCGCGGUAAUACGAAGGGUGCAAGCGUUAAUCGGAAUUACUGGGCGUAAAGCGCGCGUAGGUGGCUUGAUAAGUUGGAUGUGAAAUCCCCGGGCUCAACCUGGGAACUGCAUCCAAAACUGUCUGGCUAGAGUGCGGUAGAGGGUAGUGGAAUUUCCAGUGUAGCGGUGAAAUGCGUAGAUAUUGGAAGGAACACCAGUGGCGAAGGCGACUACCUGGACUGACACUGACAC